This is a long non-coding RNA of Haliotis rubra (blacklip abalone), 97 nucleotides long. RefSeq lists it as uncharacterized. The record is from RefSeq and is a predicted model, not a curated record. Lineage: Eukaryota; Metazoa; Mollusca; Gastropoda; Lepetellida; Haliotidae. The transcript is spliced from 3 exons.
UUUGUUAACACUUAUACUUCCUAUCUAAAUUGAAAGUUCAGGUUCCCCUACUUUUUUUUAGGAGUAUGCAUAGGUCAAUUUACUUAUAAUAGUUUUG